AUGAUUGGUUGCAACAAUGUCAUUUCUUCACAUAUUCCAUGUCCCAUUGAUUGCUACAUGCUUAACUUGAUUGCCUCACACAUGAUGAACAAUUACUCUUUCUAUUGUGUUGAGUGCCACACUAUAUUCACUACACCCUAUGCACGAUAUGCUUGGAUUGUCUUACACUUGACCCAUGUGUUUAGACACUUCAUUUUAUUUGGUGUUGUGAAUGAUUCUUAUGCCUACCAUAGACCUUUCAUUGAGCAACUUGUGAAUGCUUGCUAUGACCUUGAGGUAGAUGCUUAUUCUCUUGUCAAACAUAUUUGCAUCGCUACCUCACACUUACAUGCUUGUACCCAUGAUAUCUUUGCCUGUGCUCGAUUGAUAUGCUCACAUGCCAUGUCACAAUCCUUUGUCACACCAUAUGCUAUGCUUGAUGAUGACACUUGUUGGGUGACUCACCUCUCGAAUGCUUGGUUUUGCACUAACGCUAACCACAUUUGUUUUUCCAAGUGUUUGUUGUCCUUGCUACUUUUGAAGGAAUCACAAGACGGUGCGACAUUGGAGAGUGCCCAUUUCGAGCUACUAGAUGAUGAGUAG
RNAcentral lists this ribosomal RNA (582 nucleotides) under Triticum aestivum (bread wheat). RNAcentral's name for it is "partial small subunit ribosomal RNA". Lineage: Eukaryota; Viridiplantae; Streptophyta; Magnoliopsida; Poales; Poaceae. The record is from RNAcentral.